RNAcentral lists this transfer RNA (73 nucleotides) under Ailuropoda melanoleuca (giant panda). It matches the Rfam family "tRNA". From Rfam's summary of the family: Transfer RNA (tRNA) molecules are approximately 80 nucleotides in length. Their secondary structure includes four short double-helical elements and three loops (D, anti-codon, and T loops). Further hydrogen bonds mediate the characteristic L-shaped molecular structure. tRNAs have two regions of fundamental functional importance: the anti-codon, which is responsible for specific mRNA codon recognition, and the 3' end, to which the tRNAs corresponding amino acid is attached (by aminoacyl-tRNA synthetases). tRNAs cope with the degeneracy of the genetic code in two manners: having more than one tRNA (with a specific anti-codon) for a particular amino acid; and 'wobble' base-pairing, i.e. permitting non-standard base-pairing at the 3rd anti-codon position. Lineage: Eukaryota; Metazoa; Chordata; Mammalia; Carnivora; Ursidae. The record is from Rfam by way of RNAcentral.
ACCCGGCUGGCUAGGUUGGUAGAGUAUGUGACUCUUGAUCUCAGGGUUGUAAGUUCAAGCCCCACGCUGGGUG